RNAcentral lists this non-coding RNA (25 nucleotides) under Cricetulus griseus (Chinese hamster). Lineage: Eukaryota; Metazoa; Chordata; Mammalia; Rodentia; Cricetidae. The record is from RNAcentral.
UUAAUCUCUGCAGUUCAUCUCAUUU